RNAcentral lists this ribosomal RNA (497 nucleotides) under uncultured bacterium. Its description in RNAcentral is "partial 16S ribosomal RNA". It matches the Rfam family "Bacterial small subunit ribosomal RNA", at positions 28 to 507 of the family's 1533-position model. The record is from RNAcentral.
GAUGAACGCUGGCGGCGUGCCUAAUACAUGCAAGUAGAACGCUGAAGCUUGGCGCUUGCACCGAGCGGAUGAGUUGCGAACGGGUGAGUAACGCGUAGGUAACCUGCCUCUUAGCGGGGGAUAACUAUUGGAAACGAUAGCUAAUACCGCAUAAAAGUCGAUAUCGCAUGAUAUUGAUUUGAAAGGUGCAAAUGCAUCACUAAGAGGUGGACCUGCGUUGUAUUAGCUAGUUGGUGAGGUAACGGCUCACCAAGGCGACGAUACAUAGCCGACCUGAGAGGGUGAUCGGCCACACUGGGACUGAGACACGGCCCAGACUCCUACGGGAGGCAGCAGUAGGGAAUCUUCGGCAAUGGGGGCAACCCUGACCGAGCAACGCCGCGUGAGUGAAGAAGGUUUUCGGAUCGUAAAGCUCUGUUGUAAGAGAAGAACGAGUGUGAGAGUGGAAAGUUCACACUGUGACGGUAACUUACCAGAAAGGGACGGCUAACUACGUG